UAAUGACUUUCUACAUGGAUAACCGUGGGAAACUAGGGCUAAUACAUGCAUAAAGCCCCGACUUUACGGGAGGGGUGUGUUUAUUAGAUCUGAAGCCAACCCGCCUUGUGCGGAACUUGGUGAGUCAUGAUAACCUUACGAAUCGCAUGUCCUAGCGACGGCGAUGCAGCGAUUGAGCUUCUGACCUAUCAAGCUGACGGUAGGGUAUUGGCCUACCGUACUUAUGACGGGUAACGGAGAAUUAGGGUUCGAUUCCGGAGAGGGAGCCUUAGAAACGGCUACCACAUCCAAGGAAGGCAGCAGGCGCGCAAAUUACCCAAUCUCGAUACGAGGAGGUAGUGACAAGAAAUAACAAUGCAGGGCUCUAAGAGUCUUGUAAUUGGAAUGAGUACAAUCCAAAACACUUAACGAGGAUCAAUUGGAGGGCAAGUCUGGUGCCAGCAGCCGCGGUAAUUCCAGCUCCAAUAGCGUAUAUUAAUGCUGCUGCGGUUGAAACGCUCGUAGUUGGACUUUGGGAUGGAAGCUGGGGACGGCCUCCGGGCUGUGACUCAGGACCUAUCCUUAUGCCGUAACCGC
This 576-nucleotide ribosomal RNA is filed under the name uncultured eukaryote. Its description in RNAcentral is "bacterial SSU rRNA". It matches the Rfam family "Eukaryotic small subunit ribosomal RNA", at positions 125 to 705 of the family's 1831-position model. The record is from RNAcentral.